CUGGUACCUAUGAUGGUGUUGAAUGUACUUUGAGCAACAGCUACGCAAACAACUGCACUCUGAGGCAAUUA
RNAcentral lists this small nucleolar RNA (71 nucleotides) under Cephalotus follicularis. Lineage: Eukaryota; Viridiplantae; Streptophyta; Magnoliopsida; Oxalidales; Cephalotaceae. The record is from RNAcentral.